CACUGUGUGUGUGUGUGCACGCGUGUGUAUGUAUGUAUGUAUGUAUGUAUGUAUGUGUAUAUAUAUAUAUAUAUAUAUAUAUAUAUAUAUAUAUAUAUAUAUAUAUAUACAUACACACACACACACACACACACACAC
Molecule: microRNA precursor, 138 nt
Filed under: Pelobates cultripes (western spadefoot toad)
Lineage: Eukaryota; Metazoa; Chordata; Amphibia; Anura; Pelobatidae
Source: RNAcentral